GCGUUCGUGGCUUAGUGGUAAAAUCCAUCGUUGCCACCAGCAAGUCGGGCUCAGUUUGUUUCUGCUGGACCGACCUGCGCGUUUCGAUGGGCACCGCGUUCGAUUCGCGGCUGACGCA
Molecule: non-coding RNA, 118 nt
Organism: Schizothecium vesticola
Lineage: Eukaryota; Fungi; Ascomycota; Sordariomycetes; Sordariales; Schizotheciaceae
Source: the annotation of a GenBank genome assembly